AUGAUACGCGAAGAACCUCACCCAGGUUUGACAUGCAUGUGGUACCAAGGUGAAAGCUGAGGGACCCUUCGGGGAGGCAUGCACAGGUGUUGCACGGCCGUCGUCAGCUCGUGCCGUGAGGUGUUGGGUUAAGUCCCGCAACGAGCGCAACCCCUCGUCGCCAGUUGAUUUUUUCUGGCGAGACUGCCGAGAAAACCUCGGAGGAAGGAGGGGACGGAUGUCAGGUCAGCGUGGCCCUUACGCCUGGGGCUACACACACGCUACAAUGGGCAGUACAACGGGUCGCGAAGCCGCGAGGUGGAGCUAAUCCCAUCAAAGCUGUCCUCAGUUCGGAUUGCAGGCUGAAACCCGCCUGCAUGAAGCCGGAGUUGCUAGUAACCGCAGGUCAGCAUUACUGCGGUGAAUACGUUCCCGGGCCUU
This 420-nucleotide ribosomal RNA is filed under the name uncultured Chloroflexota bacterium. RNAcentral's name for it is "bacterial SSU rRNA". It matches the Rfam family "Bacterial small subunit ribosomal RNA", at positions 954 to 1382 of the family's 1533-position model. The record is from RNAcentral. Lineage: Bacteria; Bacillati; Chloroflexota.